Molecule: ribosomal RNA, 254 nt
Filed under: uncultured bacterium
Lineage: Bacteria
Description: partial 16S ribosomal RNA
Rfam family: Bacterial small subunit ribosomal RNA
Source: RNAcentral
UACGGAGGGUGCAAACGUUGCUCGGAAUCAUUGGGCGUAAAGCGCACGUAGGUGGCCUGUUAAGUCGGGUGUGAAAUCCCUGGGCUCAACCCAGGAAGUGCACUCGAAACUGGCAGGCUUGAGUACUGAAGAGGGUCGCGGAAUUCCCGGUGUAGAGGUGAAAUUCGUAGAUAUCGGGAGGAACACCAGUGGCGAAGGCGGCGACCUGGGCAGAUACUGACACUGAGGUGCGAAAGCGUGGGGAGCAAACAGGG